RNAcentral lists this ribosomal RNA (376 nucleotides) under uncultured bacterium. Its description in RNAcentral is "bacterial SSU rRNA". It matches the Rfam family "Bacterial small subunit ribosomal RNA", at positions 30 to 415 of the family's 1533-position model. The record is from RNAcentral.
CCUGAACGCUGUCGGUGUGAUUAAGACAUGCAAGUCGUACGGUGUAGCAAUACACAGUGGCGCACGGGUGAGUAAUGCAUCGCUAAUGUACCCUGGGGUCUGGGAUAGCCAGUCGAAAGAUUGGGUAAUACCAGAUGAGACCACGACCUGGCAUCAGGUUGUGCUCAAAGGGCAACUGCCCUGGGAUCAGGCGAUGUGGUAUCAGCUAGUUGGUGAGGUAACGGCUCACCAAGGCUUCGACGCCUAGCCGGACUGAGAGGUCGGCCGGCCACAUCGGGACUGAGACACUGCCCGGACUCCGUACGGGGGCUGCAGUAAUGAAUCUUCCGCAAUGCACGAAAGUGUGACGGAGCGACACCGAGUGAAGGAUGAAGUC